This 512-nucleotide ribosomal RNA is filed under the name uncultured bacterium. Its description in RNAcentral is "partial 16S ribosomal RNA". It matches the Rfam family "Bacterial small subunit ribosomal RNA", at positions 28 to 523 of the family's 1533-position model. The record is from RNAcentral.
GAUGAACGCUGGCGGCGUGCCUAAUACAUGCAAGUCGAGCGAACAGACGAGGAGCUUGCUCCUCUGACGUUAGCGGCGGACGGGUGAGUAACACGUGGAUACCUACCUAUAAGACUGGGAUAACUUCGGGAAACCGGAGCUAAUACCGGAUAAUAUAUUGAACCGCAUGGUUCAAUAGUGAAAGACGGUUUUGCUGUCACUUAUAGAUGGAUCCGCGCCGCAUUAGCUAGUUGGUAAGGUAACGGCUUACCAAGGCGACGAUGCGUAGCCGACCUGAGAGGGUGAUCGGCCACACUGGAACUGAGACACGGGCCAGACUCCGACGGGAGGCAGCAGUAGGGAAUCUUCCGCAAUGGGCGAAAGCCUGACGGAGCGACGCCGCGUGAGUGAUGAAGGUCUUCGGAUCGUAAAACUCUGUUAUUAGGGAAGAACAAAUGUGUAAGUAACUAUGCACGUCUUGACGGUACCUAAUCAGAAAGCCACGGCUAACUACGUGCCAGCCGCCGCCGUAA